RNAcentral lists this ribosomal RNA (460 nucleotides) under uncultured bacterium. Its description in RNAcentral is "partial 16S ribosomal RNA". It matches the Rfam family "Bacterial small subunit ribosomal RNA", at positions 338 to 795 of the family's 1533-position model. The record is from RNAcentral.
CCUACGGGAGGCAGCAGUGAGGAAUAUUGGUCAAUGGACGCAAGUCUGAACCAGCCAAGCAGCGUGAAGGAAGACGGCCCUAUGAGUUGUAAACUGCUUUUGUAAGGGGGUAAAGUGCGGUACGUGUACCGGGUUGAAAGUACCGUAUGAAUAAGGAUCGGCUAACUCCGUGCCAGCAGCCGCGGUAAUACGGAGGAUUCAAGCGUUAUCCGGAUUUAUUGGGUUUAAAGGGUGCGUAGGCGGGUCGUUAAGUCAGAGGUGAAAGCUCGCGGCUCAACGGCGUAACUGCCUUUGAUACUGUCAUCCUAGAGUUUAGUUGCGGUAGGCGGAAUGUGUGGUGUAGCGGUGACAUGCUUAGAUCUCACACAGAACUCCGAUUGCGAAGGCAGCCUGCCGAACUGUGACUGACGCUGAUGCUCGAAAGCGUGGGUAUCAAACAGGAUUAGAUACCCGUGUAGUC